GAUGAACGCUGGCGGCGUGCUUAGCACAUGCAAGUCGAACGAAGCACUUUAUUUGAUUUCCUUCGGGACUGAUUAUUUUGUGACUGAGUGGCGGACGGGUGAGUAACGCGUGGGUAACCUGCCUUGUACAGGGGGAUAACAGUUGGAAACGGCUGCUAAUACCGCAUAAGCGCACGGCAUCGCAUGAUGCAGUGUGAAAAACUCCGGUGGUAUAAGAUGGACCCGCGUUGGAUUAGCUAGUUGGUGAGGUAACGGCCCACCAAGGCGACGAUCCAUAGCCGACCUGAGAGGGUGACCGGCCACAUUGGGACUGAGACACGGCCCAAACUCCUACGGGAGGCAGCAGUGGGGAAUAUUGCACAAUGGGCGAAAGCCUGAUGCAGCGACGCCGCGUGAGCGAAGAAGUAUUUCGGUAUGUAAAGCUCUAUCAGCAGGGAAGAUAAUGACGGUACCUGACUAAGAAGCACCGGCUAA
Molecule: ribosomal RNA, 474 nt
Filed under: uncultured bacterium
Lineage: Bacteria
Description: bacterial SSU rRNA
Rfam family: Bacterial small subunit ribosomal RNA
Source: RNAcentral